CAGAAAAUCAGCGUUCACGUACUCCCCCCCACUUUUCUUACCUGAAAAAGACGCAGAACUGCGAGAGUUCAUAGCAACUCGUCCCUGGUGAGUCUUCAUCCAGAGGUAGCACGCAACUUACACUAUUCAAAUGGAAACAGACAGAUCUUGGAAUAAAGUCCAUCCUCGGCGUGCUGAACAAUCGCAUGUACAUGGUUCAAGGGAAGGAGUUAUUGGAAUGAAGAAAAGGUGGUCGGGUCGACACUACUCCUCUACCUAUGAUCGCCGCCAUUUGUCGGUAACCGUCCUCUUCCUAAUCGACGCCAAAUUAAUAAAUUGAGUCAGAUCAUUUGGCGUUCUCAUCUACCCUACAUCCUGCUGAAGAAUUACAUGGAUCACAGACUCAGAAGUCACAGUGAUUGGUUUGCCAGUAUCCUGAUGCGAAAUUAUGGUGCAGCAUUUCCUCUCUCCUGUGGUUAAUGGUGCGUCUUAGGCGGACCAGAGCUAAUAAGGCUAAAGGAUUCCCGAAGGGCAGCCUUAUAAAGGUAGGAUUUUUCUUAUACAUUGCAUGUUGCCUUAUAUCUAUGUAAUCAGUGGGGGAGUGAAUAGUGCAUUAGUGACUAAAAGGAAGAUCAUCGACAACUUUUAGCCGACCUUCUUAUGGUAGUUAUGACAAUCGUCUCAUCCUAAUUUUAGUGACGUAGGGUUUUUCGCAAUAAUUGUUCAAGAGUCUCUUUUGUGGCACCAUCAGUUUACUUCAUAUUAAUCAGUAUGACUGUGACUUCAUAGCCAUACCAGUUUUAUGAAGUGAACGGGUUGUCUCUACGAACCAGACAACGAAAAAUUAUUGCAGAUAACUCCUCCGUACCUAAAAUAGGUGAUUUAAGGGUUGUUAUAUCUUAUUUGUUACUACAUAAAGGUCCGGUUAAUGACAUGUGAAGGUGAGUUAUUACAUCACAAUGAACGUGUUUGUUUAUUAAUUAAUUAGUUCACCACUGAUGAGUUGAUUAGUAGACGAACACGAUUUAAAUACAUAUUUAGUAACAUUUUGGAUUGUCUAUUAAUUUCAACGAUUGUUCACAGCACCACUGACCAUCGUACUGAACGACGUAGCGCGAUCGUCCCCCAUGCCGGCCAGCAUUCCACAACGACAUCCAAUCCAGGACCAUGGCACUCUGAUGGACGCAUGUAACCAAACGAGUUACCAUCAGUAGUCCAGACGUUCGAGAACGUGAAAUGGUGAAUCUGCAGUGCGCCGACCUUCCUGAUGUGAACGAAUUAAAUUAAAUGAUAUGAAAGGAUUACAGAAGAGAAGCCUUAUAAAGGUAGGAUAGCAUGUUUUAUUAUAUGUGCGUGGGGGGAAAGUGAACGUAGUGAAUUAUAAAAGAAGAUCAUCGAAGGUCUUCUAAGUCUGUCAUCUUGGAGACGUAAGAUUGGCUACAAUGUUUCUUCGAAUGGUCUCUCGCGGGGCAUCAUCUGUUUCCUUCAUAUUAACCAGUAUGACUAUGAAUUCUUAGUCAUACCAGUUGUAUGAAAUAAGCGGAUUUGCUCUGCGAAUCAGAUUAUGAAGAAGUAUUGGAGCCAAUUCUUCCGUUCUCAA
This is a long non-coding RNA of Photinus pyralis (common eastern firefly), 1579 nucleotides long. RefSeq lists it as uncharacterized. The transcript is spliced from 7 exons. Lineage: Eukaryota; Metazoa; Arthropoda; Insecta; Coleoptera; Lampyridae. The record is from RefSeq and is a predicted model, not a curated record.